This 60-nucleotide transfer RNA is filed under the name Aptostichus atomarius. RNAcentral's name for it is "tRNA-Val". The record is from RNAcentral. Lineage: Eukaryota; Metazoa; Arthropoda; Arachnida; Araneae; Euctenizidae.
CAUUUUCUACUUCUCAGUGUAAGUGAGAUACUUAAAGCUUUUCUUUUCCCUUAGUUUACU